CACGUAGGGCGCAAGCGUUGUCCGGAAUUAUUGGGCGUAAAGAGCUCGUAGGCGGUCCGUUACGUCUGCUGUGAAAACCCGGGGCUCAACCCCGGGCUUGCAGUGGAUACGGGCGGACUAGAGGCAGGUAGGGGAGAAUGGAAUUCCCGGUGUAGCGGUGAAAUGCGUAGAUAUCUGGAGGAACACCGGUGGCGAAGGCGGCAUCCUGGACCGAGAUUGACGCUGAACAGCGAAAGCUAGGGGAGCAAACGGG
RNAcentral lists this ribosomal RNA (253 nucleotides) under uncultured bacterium. RNAcentral describes it as "partial 16S ribosomal RNA". It matches the Rfam family "Bacterial small subunit ribosomal RNA", at positions 524 to 776 of the family's 1533-position model. The record is from RNAcentral.